CUUCUCGUACUGCCGAUGCUGCUAGUAAUGUUGCAGUGACAGAGAACUUGGUGCUGAGGAAUGGAGCGCAAGUACGGACGGUGCUUCCGUAAUCUUAGGCGAGCUUGCGAAUCUGUAGCACCCUGGUGAUUUUAGUAGUGCUAUUAGUCAUGGGGUGAACAUGGACAGAUGAAUGCGUUGCUAAACAGGGCUUCUGAAUUUGCAUUA
Long non-coding RNA from Triticum dicoccoides, 207 nucleotides. RefSeq lists it as uncharacterized. The record is from RefSeq and is a predicted model, not a curated record. The transcript is spliced from 2 exons. NCBI's taxonomy places the organism in Eukaryota, Viridiplantae, Streptophyta, Magnoliopsida, Poales, Poaceae.